This 904-nucleotide long non-coding RNA is filed under the name Triticum aestivum (bread wheat). RNAcentral describes it as "long non-coding RNA (TAES_LNC014187)". Lineage: Eukaryota; Viridiplantae; Streptophyta; Magnoliopsida; Poales; Poaceae. The record is from RNAcentral.
UUUGACCAAAUAUUAUAUGUAGACUAAAAAGAAAAGGAAGGAGUAUGAACAGAGAAGCAGCAGUUUUACAGCCUAAAUGAAUGAUUACAAAGAAGAAAGGUGCUUCAAAACAAUGGUUAGCACUGGCGAAAAGUAGAUGCACUUAGCAGGUAAAGCCGACCUCGACGACCAUCGCUUUUUCACAUCUGUUCCUCCUGCUAUCCUUGCCGUCAAGUCGACCAUGACGACCACCACCUCGACGGCCACCACGUCGGCAAGCGUGUAGAGCACUGGCCCCCGAUCACGUCGAGCUCAAGGAGGCUCAAACUGACCCUGCAGCCCACAACACGGAGGAAGGAUGGAAAUAAAUUAGAUCCUUGUCCAUUGGAAAUUCACUUUGGCUUACAGAUAGCUGCUAGAGUAAAAUACUUCAAAGCACUCUUGUUUAGGAAGUGGAUUCAUUCUCAAAUAUAGAUAGACAAAGACACAUGAAGGUUUAUCUCACUGGACAAUUAUGUGACCAUGACGGCAAAAUGUAUCUUGAUAAAUUGGAUGGUGAGGCGCUAUGACAAUAUAAGAUUUCUCGGGUUUGGCAUUCAUCCAAGAAUAUUCAGAGUUCCAGUCAGGUCAGAGCUACAGUUAAACGCGCCGGGCUAGCUAAGUUCAGAAGCAUGGCAUCUUGGAUGGUUCAACUGGUCAAAAGAUAGAGAUUUGAAAUUAAGAUUCAUGAUCAAAUUAUUUUUCAUUUGUGUUGUAAUUUCAGCAUAAGAGGUGUGAAGUACUAUUCGACCCCAUUUUUCAGUAACCAUCACUGCAGUUCCAAAAUGUGAGACAUUUCAAAACUGCUACUUUUCUUAGCAGAAAGUCUGAAGUUAUGUGUGAGUUACCGAGUAGAGCAAGAUGUUGGAGGCCUUGUAGAUCACCG